This 60-nucleotide ribosomal RNA is filed under the name Phytophthora capsici. RNAcentral describes it as "partial 28S ribosomal RNA". Lineage: Eukaryota; Oomycota; Peronosporomycetes; Peronosporales; Peronosporaceae. The record is from RNAcentral.
UUGGACCUGAUUUCAGGCAAGAAUUUCCCGCUGAACUUAAGCAUAUCAAUAAGCGGAGGA